UUUGUGGAGGGUUCGAUUCUGGCUCAGGAUGAACGCUGGCGGCGUGCUUAACACAUGCAAGUCGAACGGGAUCCAGAGUGCUUGCACUCUGGUGAGAGUGGCGAACGGGUGAGUAAUGCGUGACCGACCUG
Molecule: non-coding RNA, 131 nt
Filed under: Bifidobacterium subtile
Lineage: Bacteria; Bacillati; Actinomycetota; Actinomycetes; Bifidobacteriales; Bifidobacteriaceae
Description: Bacterial small subunit ribosomal RNA
Rfam family: Bacterial small subunit ribosomal RNA
Source: Rfam by way of RNAcentral